GCGGAGGGAUCAUUACACAACAAAAUAUGAAGGCCUGGCUUUCGCGGCCGGCUGAAGUAUUUUUUUCACCCAUGUCUUUUGCGCACUUGUUGUUUCCUGGGCGGGUUCGCCCGCCACCAGGACCAAACCAUAAACCUUUUUUUCUUAUGCAGUUUCCAUCAGCGUCAGUAAAAACAAUGUAAUUAUUACAACUUUCAACAACGGAUCUCUUGGUUCUGGCAUCGAUGAAGAACGCAGCGAAAUGCGAUACGUAGUGUGAAUUGCAGAAUUCAGUGAAUCAUCGAAUCUUUGAACGCACAUUGCGCCCUUUGGUAUUCCAAAGGGCAUGCCUGUUCGAGCGUCAUUUGUACCUUCAAGCUUUGCUUGGUGUUGGGCGUUUUUUUGUCUCCCUCUUUCUGGGAGACUCGCCUUAAAACGAUUGGCAGCCGGCCUACUGGUUUCGGAGCGCAGCACAUUUUUUGCGCUUUGUAUCAGGAGAAAAGGACGGUACUCCAUCAAGACUCUACAUUUUUCACUUUUGACCUCGGAUCAGGUAGGGAUACCCGCUGA
RNAcentral lists this ribosomal RNA (549 nucleotides) under Bipolaris oryzae. RNAcentral describes it as "eukaryotic LSU rRNA". The stretch from base 190 to 343 matches the Rfam family "5.8S ribosomal RNA". The record is from RNAcentral. Lineage: Eukaryota; Fungi; Ascomycota; Dothideomycetes; Pleosporales; Pleosporaceae.